CAGAGUUAUCUAACUCCCAAACCCAAUGUGAACCUACCUAUGUUGCCUCGGCGGGAGAAGCCUACCCGGUACCUACCCUGUAGCUACCCGGGAACUACCCUGUAGUUGAUGGCGGACCCGCCGGUGGACAUUUUAAAAACUCUUGUUUUACUGUGACACUCUGAGUAACAAACUAAAUAAGUUA
This 184-nucleotide unclassified non-coding RNA is filed under the name uncultured fungus. RNAcentral's name for it is "sequence contains ITS1, 5.8S rRNA gene". The record is from RNAcentral. Lineage: Eukaryota; Fungi.